Picea glauca (white spruce) is the source of this 74-nucleotide non-coding RNA. The record is from Rfam. Lineage: Eukaryota; Viridiplantae; Streptophyta; Pinopsida; Pinales; Pinaceae.
CUCUGGGUGGUGUAGUUGGUUAUUACGUUAGUCUUACACACUAAAGGUCCCCAGUUCGUACCUGGGCUCAGACA